This is a long non-coding RNA of Neofelis nebulosa (Clouded leopard), 12490 nucleotides long. RefSeq lists it as uncharacterized. The transcript is spliced from 9 exons. Lineage: Eukaryota; Metazoa; Chordata; Mammalia; Carnivora; Felidae. The record is from RefSeq and is a predicted model, not a curated record.
CAUUCAACCACCCAUCCAUCCAUCCACCAACCCAACCAUACACCCACCCACCCAUCUACCCAAAUCCCCACCCAUCCAUUCACCCACUCACCCAUCCAUCUACCCACCCACCCAUCCAACCAUCUAAUCAUGCCACCCACCCCAUCCAACCAUCUACCCAGUCCAUUCACCCAUCUACCCAUCCAUCCACCCACUCACCCAUUCAUCCAUUCACCCAGUGGCUACUUUGUGAGUCCACUGUGUGCCAGACACUGUUCUAGGCACUGAGGAAACAACAGUGAAAAAGACAUGGUUGUCAUGGAAAGCAGGUCCUGGGCCUUCCUGCUCCCUCCUCUCCCAGCUGAGAAGUAAGAACUGUCAGCACUAGAAGCUGUCAAGGGCCAGAUAGUAAAUAUUUUAGUCUUGAGGGCCCAAAGGUCUCUACAGUAGCCACUCAUCUCUGCCCACAUAGCUUGAAAGCAGCCACAGACAACAUGUGUGUGGCUGUGUUUUUUAAUUUAUUAUUAUUAAAUAUUUUAUUUUUAAGCCAUAUCUACACUCAAUGUGGGGCUCAAACUCACAACUCUAAGAUCAAUAGUCUCAUGCUCCACCAACUGAGCCAGCCAGGCACCCCAUGGCUGUGUUCCAAAAUAAAAUUUUAUUUACAAAAACAGGCCAGCUGGGAGUAACCCCUGAAGAAACACAGAACUGGGAAGGACCUCAGAGCCCAGUGGUUUUCAACCAUGGCUGCAUAGUCAAAUCAGUCAGGAAGCUUUAUUUUAUUUAUUUACUUAUUUAACAGGUGACCUGAUUUUUUUUUAAGUUUAUUUACUUUGAGAGAGAGAGAGACAGAGACAGAGAAUCCCAAGCAGGCUCCAUCCUGUCAGUGCAGAGCCUGAUGCAGGGUUUGAUCUCACAAACUGUGAGAUCAUGACCUGAGCCAAAGUCAGAUGCUUAACUACCUGAGCCACCCAGGUGCCCCUAGGAUCUGAUUUUUUGACUCUAGCCAGCCAGCCUCUAUCUGUGACCUGAGCUGCCUCUUGGGGUUGGAAGGAGGGCACCUGCUGUCCAUUAGUCUUUUCUGUACCAGCUCUCUCCUUCUGACAGGUGGGUUUCCCCAGGUAAGAUAUAGAUGGCCUGAUCUAUGAUUUAAGUUGAAGAUGUGAUGUUGAGGGCACCCUGAGGGCCCUCUGGAGGAGUGGAUUUUGAGCUCAUCCGUUUGGGGAGGCAGCAGAGGGCAGUUGUAAAUGCAGGCUUGAGGGAAACAGAACUCCAUUGGUAGCUGCGUGACUUUGAGCAAGUUAUUUAACCCCUCUGAGACUGAGCGUCUCCAUUUAUAGAAUAGGGACCAUAAUACCUGCCUUGCGAGAGAGAGUGUUGUAAGAAUUAGAGGAGAUUAUGCGCACAAAUGUUUAUCGUCAUUCCUGGCACCCACCUCGUGCUAAUAAACAGAAGCUAUUACAGUAUUUUUAUUUCAUCUCGGUAUUAGACCCACUUCUGUGCCUUCCACAGCCUUCUGUGUUGUAUGCUUAACAAAGUGAGAGGCAGAAACCCAGCUGGAAGACAGAGGGCAUUCCAGGCUUGGGGAAUGGUCGAGGGAAGGCCCUGAGGUGGGAAUGAUUGAGCUGUGAUGAGAUCCAGCUCCGAGGCGACACUCAAAUGUCACCGGCCCUGUCUAUCUCUGCCUCUCAGAACCGUUCCAUGCCUCUCCCCACUCCUGAGCUCUGGUUCUCUGCAGGUAGAGUUCUUACUGCUAUCUGUUGGUUUAGGGAAAUGCUCUCGGUGUGAGAGCAGGCAUGCUGUUUAUGCUGGAGGCUAGGACCCUGUGUGGCAUACAAUAGGCAUAGCCAGCCAGGCUGUAAGGAGAGUGACUUCCUGAUAACCAUGAAGAGCGACAGGGCAGGCAGGGAGGCCUGUGGCCGGGAGGCUAAGGAGCUUCCAUUUGGUGCAAUAGGAAAUGGGAAGCCACAGUUGGCUGAGCUGAGACUUGUAAACAGGAGCCUUCCAGGGGUUCCUGGGGGACCCUGUGCUGCCCUGCCCCAAAGGCCAUCUGCUCUGGGAGGACAGGUGCACCAGCCCCAAGCAGGGAGGGGAGUACCUCCCUGCCCAUCACUGCCACAUCCUUCCAAGCGCAUGUUGGAUGCGGCUGCUCCUCCCAGAGCUUGCAACCCAUCGCCUUGGUCACUGCCAAGGCUGGGCCUAAGGCGUCUGAGCCCAAAGUAACCACUCUGCCUGAUGGUCCUGGGCACCAUGGCCCAGGGAGGAGGUGAGAAGGAGGAGACAGGUGAGAGAGGGGCAAGGACUUCUCUGUGUCCUCAAAAGGCUGGCCUCAGCGAUAGGAGAGUCAGUGGGCCUACAAAGGGACCGUGUGCAGCUGUUUUGGGGUUCAGCCAUCCGGGACACAAGGGAUAACUGCAUCCAGAAUUCUGAUGUCACCUUUUGUGUCUGGAAUAAUAUAGCAUCAUCUUGACAAAGUGCUUUACUGUGACUUCUCCCAGGCUUCUCCAGCCUCUCUGGUUGCUUUCUCAGGGCUCAGAGGUCUUUUCUCGGGUGGGCCACCUGUGGAAAAGGUGUUGGCUUUUCAGCUGGCACUGAUGUACCCUAACCUACCCAUGCCUGACCUUCUCCAUCAAGAUAAAGUGGCAGAAGGGCCCCCGUCCCCUGGCCCUUCUGUGGCUUCCCCUGGGAUCGGGGUGUCGUGGGGAGGUGGUCCAGGAAGCACGCCGUGUGAUCUGCCUCCAGGGGUGCCACUCAUCCUCUGCACCUCGAGGUUUGUCCUCCCCCAAGAAUCCCCUCCCAGGCUGGUGUCCGCUCCGUCCUCGGUACCCCUCGGGUGGAGAGGCUGCAGAAUAAUCCAUCUGGAUAGAGAGCGUGGGAUCGAUGCGCUGUUUUUAGUUCCGUGGGAGAAGUCACAACAAGGGGUUGUAACUUCUCUGCAAUUUCUCUCCUCCAUCAGGCAUCUGUUGGCAUGCUGUGAGGAGGUUCUCAUCUGAGCACAGGGCUUGUAUCUGGAUCCAGCCUCAUGGAUGUGUCCUGGCCUCAUGGCCCCUUCUGCCUCUGCUCUGAAUGAGGGGAGCUGUUUAGGCGUUUGUCAUCCUUUUCUCCCCACCGCCGCCCCUGCUCUGGCUGACUCACACAUGGCCUCUAGCCCUCACUGCCUUGAAUGGCACCUGCCCAUGCCUCGGUUAUCUCUUCUUUCUUUAAAAAAUUUUCUUUUAAAAUAUUUAUGUAUGUUUGAGAGAGAGAGAAAGAGACAGAGCAUGAGCGGGAGACGGACAGAGAGAGAGGGAGACACAGAAUCGAAAGCAGGCUCCAGGCUCUGAGCUGUCAGCACAGAGCCUGACACGGGGCUUGAACUCCCAAGCUGUGAGAUCAUGACCUGAGCUGAAGUCAGACGCUGAACCGACUGAGCCACCCAGGCGCCCCAGGUUACCUUGUAUUUCAUGCUCCAUCUGAGCCAGUGCUUUCCUUGAUGCUUCCCCUGACCUCCAGCACAUCUGGUCAGCUUAGUCACCAGUCUGACCAUGUGCCAGGCCCUGUGCUAUGUCCUAGAGAUCUAGAAAUGAACAGGGACUCCCUCUGCCCUGGGGAAGCCGGCUGCCCGGGUAGGAGGAGAGGCUCAGAGACUAACACGGGAUGCUUGUGCCAAGGCAGAAUGUGCCGGCGGCCUUGGAGUUCACAGAGGGAACCUCUCAUCUUCUGUAGGAGAGCGAUUAGCAGCUCUGGAACUCAGACGGCCAGGGUUUUGCUCCAGACCAGUCAAAUAUAGAGGGUCUGAUAUUUGGGGGGGAAAUGAUUUUAGAUUUUGUAAGUAAAAAAUGUUGCUACAUUUACCUGAUGAUAGGACAUUCCUUCUACACGGCAGGAUGCCUGAUAAGAAGAGCAAUGAUUUAAAAUAGGAAGCUCCCAGAUACAUAUUUAAUGAUAUCUUCCUCCCCACUUCCUCCCUCGCCGUAUCGGGAACAACCAAGUCGAUCUUUGUCCUUGGCGUGGGCGUUAGGAUUGCCAGUGACAGUUCAGGUAAGAGUGAACCCGGGAACAGGUGCUGCUUGAGCUGAGUCUUGAUGGGUGAACGGGACUUUGCCAGCUGGAGGGGUUGGGGAGGUGGAGGGAGUUCUGGGUGAGGGAUGGAGGUGUGAAGGUACCCACCAUUUCCAGAAGAAUAAACAUGGUUUGGUUGGGCAAAGGCUUAAGGGAGAAAGGGCAAGAGAUGGUCCUCAAAUGGUAGGUGGGGCCGGAUCCAGGGGGCUUUAACACCGCCCGAAGGGGGUCAUGGUUUCCCACCUUCAGGCCUUUGCUCAUCAUAGACUAUGAGCCCCUCAGAAGCAAGGCUAGGACUGGGGUGAGCAAGUGGUGUGCCAAGGGAGCAACGUGUAAGGAGGCACUCACUCUCAGAGUUGUGCCAGAGCAGGGCUGGCCCCCUGAGGGUGAGCACGUCCUUUGUGCACUCUCGGUGCUUUCCUUGCCUCCCCCUAGACCCAGUGCUGCUCAGGAGAGAGGUCACAUUGUGUAAAUCUUUGUACCCCUACGACCUAGGACAGUGCCUGACCAUAGUAGCAGACUAAUAAACGCUCAACUGAAUGAAUGAAUGAAUGAAUGAAUGAGUGGUGCUUUUUGGUUUUGUUUUUGUUUUUUUCUGUCUGGAAUGUGUUUGCCCUCCUCAUGUCCAGUCAAGGUGUGUCAUUUCUUUUAUGGCUUACUUCAUCCCUGCAGCCCCUCCAGAUACACCUCCCCUGAGUCCUCAGCUCUUACAUUGUGUCAACGUCCCAUCACCCAACCAGAUUGUGUGGCUGUGCUUGGAAGAAGAGGUAACCACAGUUUACACUGGAGGCUGACCAAAUCUCAGAAUCUUCCCUGGGCGGGCUCAGUAGUUCUAGAAUAUCCUGGUCCCUUGGACGGAAAGGACCAGCCACCACUGCCACUAUUGCUGCUGUCGCUGCUGUGUAGGGUCUCCUUCCCCUCUCCCUCCCUCCUCUUUAUGGGGCCAGACUCAGAAAAGCUUCUGGAGGUGGUGUCUCCAAACUGCUCCUCCACAGUACUACCCACUUACCCAGCCUGCUUCCUCUGCUCAGCCCCUUUGGACCACGGCCAGCUGAUCACUGCUCACGCAGUUACGAAGGCCCCAGAGGUCUUUUGAGACACCCACCCCUCCCUGCCCUUCUGACUAAUGGGACUCCUCACCAGGUGGCUCUUGGCUGAGAAAUGAGGUUAAACCUGGACACCGCUGGGAUAUGGAAGCUGGGGGAUGAUUAAUGAUACUACUCAGGAAGGGUUGAGACGUUUGCAUUUCUGUCCAGCAGAGGAUCUAUUUCAAUCAGGAAGUUACUCUUGCUGCCCAAAGAAGCAGAAUAGUCCCCUCCCACGCUCACUUACUGCUGAAGGGAGGAUGGUCACGCAGCAUCGUGUGGGCAGUGCAAUCACAGAGCGCCCAGGCAGGAGAGCUGAGCUGCACCGACGCGCCCAGAAGGGGGCCACUGCCCCUCAUCCAUGAGAGCUGGUAUCCUGAGAACAAUAGCCCUGAGUGCACCGACCUCUGAGGAACGCUGUUGCGAAAGAAUCAGUGUUCAGUCCAAGUUCAAGAACAUUUCCAGACGUUAUGGAUACCUGGGCCAGGUGGCCCUUACCUGACGUAGAAAGCCAAGAUUCUGGAGCCCAGAAGGGCAGGCCAGGAGUGGGAAGAGCAGGCCCAGGAUGGAUUUUCUGUCAUCACUGCUCAGGGUCUAGGAGCUGGAGCAGUGUGGCAUCCCUACCCGGCCCGGCAGCUGAAGAUGGGGGAAACUGAGGCCCAGAGAGGUUCUAGAACUGCCAGAAAGUGCUGGAUCCAGGAUACAGAACAUUAGCUAAAGCUGAGCUAUGCAGAAGCUUAAAUGGAAUCGUGAGUUCUGCCAUGUACCCUGCUUCAGAAGUUCCGGGGAGCAGAGGACACUCGAGGUCGCAUCCUCAGUGUGGCCUGGAUCCUUCUCCCCUUUUGUUCUCCUGGAGAACGUCUUGCAGUAUAGCUGAUCCUGGAUGUCGGAGAGGUCACAUGUGACUCUGAGCAGUAUGUCUGGCGUGGAGGCGUAAGAGAGGCCUGAUGCCCACGGAGGAUUUCACGUGUUAACAGGAUGGCCCUGUAUACAGAAGCAACCAAGGGCCCCAGCACGGGGACACCAGCACCGGAUAGCACCUCAUAAGGACAAGACACUGAAUUUCUCCUUUGCCCUCUCGUGGAAGUCAUCUGCGAUCCCUCCAGGGGUGAGUAUUAUGCGUGCCCUGAGAUGGUCCCUGAGGGCGGCCAUAUGGACCCGCGUGCUGCCAGGCUGGCUGUGUGCCCCAGAUCCUGAGCUGUCGGUGGAGAUAGGGGUCGAGCCCAGAGACCCCAGCCAGAAUUACUUUGGCACGUGUUUUCAUUUCUACCUGAACUUUGAGAAGCACAGACAUUCCCCAAAAUCCAUUUUCCUCGUUUGCUGGGGCAGACGCCGCUCGUUUAUGGCCCUGGGAAGGAAGACAUCACACCUCAAGUGAAAGCAGGGGAGGGGCAGAGAGAGAAACACACACAGAAUCCGAAGCAGGCUCCAGGCUCUGAGCUGUCAGCACAGAGCCCGAUGUAGGGCUUGAACUCACGAGCCGUGAAAUCAUGACCUGAGCCGAAGUCAGCCACCCAACCAACUGAGCCUCCCAGGCGCCCCAGAAGCUGACCUUUAAAAAGCCACAUAAGAGGGAAGGUUGAGCACCGGAUUAGGAGACAGGAACCUUCCAAAGUUUCCUGGACGAGGACCUUUUCGACUAGACUGCCAUGAACUGUGUAUUCUUAAGCAGGCCAUCUACUUCCUCUGUGCCUCAGUUUCCACAUCUGUUGAGCUGAAGACGGUGUCUUCAUGUGAGGUAAGGAGAAGAAAGACUGGCUGCCUGUGCAAUUUGCAAACCGCAAAGUGUUUGCUUAUUUGAACUUCGAGGUGGAUGGGAACAGCUAAGGAACCCCCCUGGGGCAUCUGUGAGGGGAGGGCUGAGGGGCAACCCGGAAAUGACUUUGCUGAGAGGAGAGGAGGAGAGAACAGGGAGAGGAUACCCAAAAUGGACCACAGGGAGGUGGGGGGGAGGAGACAGGCUGCAAGCGUUCCAGCAGGAGACCACCUGUGGCCUGUGGACAUGACCUUUGGUGUCUCACGGCAGAUUCAGUCCGGCUGCUUCUGUACCAGCAGCAAGAGUCCAGACUGGGUCCCCGUGGUUGUCACAAAUAUUCCGGUGUUCUCUCCGUCUAGGUACCUGGCGGGACUAGAUCCUCUGUGCCGUUGAGGGUGUGCAUGACCGUGUGACUCUACUUGGCCACUGGCACAUGAGUGGAAGUGACGGUAUCAUUUGAAGAUAUCAAGGGGCAAACCUGAAGAGCUCAUGCGUGACUGGCGGUCAAGGCAGAGCCGGUCGCGCCCCGCCCACAGCUCUUGGAGCAUCCUGAUGACUUAGUCCCCCCAGUGUCUGCGUCUCUGUGCCCAAGGGCUUUGUCCAGACCACAAAACACGGCUCUGCCCGCACGCACCCCAGGCUGGGAGUGCCAGGGAAAUACACACCUCACCCCCGUCAGCCCGGGCCAGCGACUGGGGUGUUGAGAUAUAAACACCCCAGCUCUCUCACCCCUGAGGCGGGCUCACCCUGGAGCAUGGGUUCCUCACCGUUUCCCCGGGAUUUCCCAGGGGACGAACCGCAUUUACCCACAGUGGCGGCUGGCUUAAUUCACAUCCCUUAUUAGCUGCUUUCCUUUCCCUGAGGCAUUCUCCCGCUCCAUACCAGUGUCCCCUGCCCCCCUCCCCCCAAUUAGCUGUUGGCACUUGCACCACUGACUCUGGGUCUGUUUCUGGACAGCCACGUUCCUCUUUCCUGCCGUCACCAAAACCCACUGGCCAAAGAGUAGGCAGUUCCCCAGGCAGUGACUGUUCUGUCAUCCCCAGGCCUUGGGGUAGAGCGACUAGAAGAAGCUGGGCCUCCAGUGGGCUCACCGCGGACAGUGAGCAGGAGGAAGAAGCCCCCUGAGGCUUGGGAGGCCUUUGGUGCCACGGCACCAGCUCACCUACUCUGACUGAUACGGCCCCUGCCUCCCCCCAUACGCUGCAAAGGCACAUCGAAUUCAAGGCAUCUUACAAGGGACAGAGAAGGACGGAAAGACAAAGAAAGAAAGCAUGCAAGCACGUAUGUGCACAAUGGAGAGAGAGUGUGGGAAUGUGUGAGUGUGUGUGUGUGUGUGUGUGUGUGUGUGUGCGCCUAUGUUAGAGCAGAAUGGAAGGAAAGGGGAGGGACCAGUUUGAAGGGGCGACUAAAAAAAGAUGCCCAAGGGGCACCUGGCUGGCUCAGCUGGUUAAGCAUCCGACUCUUGGUUUUGGCUUCUGUCACCAUCUCACGGUCUGUGAGAUCAAGCCCUGCAUCGGGCCCCCCACGGAGAGCGCGGGGGGCCGCCUGGGAUUCUCUCCCCCGCUCUCUCUGCCCCUCCCCACUCUCAAAAGAAAUAAACUUCAAAAAGAAAGCAAGACAAAGAUGUCCAAGAACUCUGGCAUCGGAGAGACGGAGGUAGAAAGGAUAAAAGAUCAAAAGGCCGAGAGACGCAGUGACAAGGGUCCAGGGUCACACACGGAAGCUGAAUGCUGAGCCAAGCCUCAAAGGUGGGCUUCCUCAUUCCAACCCAGCGCUCCUUCCCCUGAGCGGGUCGCCCCAUCCAGAAGGCCUGGCUGGCCUGCCUUCUCUCCGCCCCCCUGGCGUUGCGGGGUAGGGGGGAAGCCCACGGCCGGUGGCCCGUGGCUCCAAGCCCCUCACGUAUGGAUGACAGCGGCACACAGGCCGGUCUGUGACCAUGUGUGGGCCUAAGCAGCAGGUUCCUCUGUUUGCAAGCACACAAGUGGACUCUUGCCAGCUCAAGCCAUAAAUGGGGGUGAACUGGGGAGUUCUGGGGCUCCCAGCUAACAGCAUGGGCCUUGGGAGAACAGCGUCGAGAGAGGCUUCAGACUGGUCCCGUGCCCUGGACCCUCCCGCCAGCGAUGGCCCUGUCUGCCCCUCACCUGCCAUUCUCACAGGUAAGGAGUGCCGAUUCCCGGCAGAAAGAAUCGGACUGGCUACUUCCAGUCAGGCGUUCUUCUUGGAACCAAUGAGCUGAAUCCAAGAGUGAGGGGUAACCCGGGAGCACGCUGGGGCCCAUGCCCGAGCAUGGCCAGUUUCCGGAGCCUGGGCGGUGGUGAGCCGGCAGACCCAAGGGAGGUGUUUGCGAAGGGAGCCCUCUCCUGCCCUUGACAUACACCUCCUCUCAGCAGGUCCCGCUCUUCGUUUUCUGUCAUUCAUUCGACCCUCCCUGAAGCUCUCACUGAUGUACUACAGGCACCUGGUGCCGUGGAGACGCUCCUCACCCCUCACACACGACCACGGUAACGCCAGGCCGAGGGGCCUGCAGCCUUGGGACGGCCUGCCUGUGGUUCGGCCACAGACGUGCGCCAGUUCCGUGUCUUGAUCUCGCCACCCAGCCUGGGGACGCUUAGGAUUGACCUGACUGAGCCAGCCAGCAUAGUCACAUAUGGACAGAAAGUGCUAGAAGGUGUUUUAAUCUGCUCCCCAAGUUCCCAUGCGGAACAGGGUCUGUGAAGGAUUCCAGAGCUGGAUUUCCCUGACUCAUCAUCCUUGAGAUUCUGUCAGUGGAGUUUUUUCUAGAGAGGGAGGCCUGCCCUUUGGCUUAGUUGCAGAACUGCCCCCAGCACUCCCUCAGCUCAACCUCCCCCUCCUCUCCCCCUCCACUCCCUCGGGACUCCCUCCGGGUGUCUCUAGGUCACAAUAUCCUCCUGCUCUUUGGGGGGAGCCUGACCAGAGGCCCUUUUGUUGUUUCUACUCCUGUUCUCACAAAAGUCCCUGUGGAGGGGGAAAAAUGUCACCUAGAUAAAGACACAGAGCAUAAAGAAGAAAAAACCCAAAGAGUGACAUUUGGGAAAGUUUAGACAAGAAUAGCCUGGACAGGGCUGAGCUUGGGAAGAGGGGGAAGGUCAGAGCCUGGGGGAUUAGGGACGUCAGACAGCUGACAUGGUGACAGAUGUCUGGCCCUGGGUUUCUCUUUCAUAAUGACCAGAGUUUGCUCACUGAGCUCUGCCAGAGCACUCGCUAUGUGCUAAGCACCUUCCGCUGAUUGUCUCACUUAAUUCACAAGACACCCCUGGGAGAUCCUUACCGUUAUUAACUCAGAUGGAAGAUGGGGAAACUGAGGUUCAGGGAGGUAAAGUAACUUUCCCAGGGUCUCAUGUCCAUCUGGCUACAGCACAACGGGCUACCAGGGCCCCCCGUGGUUUUGAAGCUCAGAGCAACUGGGAUGUCUGAGUACCAUAAAGUUUUAUCCGAGCAGAUGAGCCUUGCUGAGAGAAAUCCUUGUGCUCCCAGAGAACAGGGUGGAAAAUGGGAAAGAAACUAGCUUAGGAGUCGGAAAUCCUGGAGCCCCAACACAGGCUUUGCCUCUCGCUAUUGAAUUACCUUGAACAACUUACUGUAGGGAGCCCAAGAAGAAAAGUAGCAUGAUUGGCCAGGCUUGGAUCAUGCCAUCACACCCAGGCCAAUCAUUUUUAGCAAGUUGGCUGUUCGAGUUCAGUCCCACUACUUAGAGCGGGAAUGGGCAGUGCUUUGUCCGGGAAAACGGGGUGUGGGUGGGGGGUAGGAAAUAAAAGAUUCUAGGCAAAAUGAAUAUAUUUUAUUAUUCAAACCCCAGUUCUCUCCGCUCCUAAUCAUUCCCAUCCAAUAUUGAAAUGCCACUCUGAAGUUUACAUUCUGGGGGCGCCUAGGUGGCUCAGUCGGUUGGGCAUCCAACUUCCGCUCAGGUCAUGAUCUCAUGCUUCUUGAGUUCUGAUCUCAUGCUUCUUGAGUUCGAGUCCCACAUCAGGCUCUGUGCUGACAGCUCAGAGCCUCAAGGCUGCUUCAGAUUCUGUGUUGGCCUCUCUCUCUGCCCCUUCCCCCAUUGACACACACUCUCUCUCUCUCAAAAAUAAAUAAACAUUAAAAAAAUUUUUUUUAAAUUAAAAACAUUUACAUUCUGCCACCUCCUGUCUCCUACCCUGAUGCUUGCUGGGCACAACUGGCCUCAUGGAUCAUCUCAGCUCACAGGCCUGAUGGGCUUUCCAGAGUUCCAAGAAGCUCUCCGUUCCUCCAGUUAUGUUAACUAUCUUUCCUCCCCUGCCUGCUGUGUCAGGAAUUUCGCUAUUGGAGGCUCGCUUUUUAGCCUAACCAACUUGUCCCCCUUCAGAUGCACAUCCUCUUGUGAGCAGGUACCCCCUGUCUGAACAAGUAUCUAGGACUGCUCCUAGUGGCUUUCCGUGCCUUUUCCCAUUUUGGUAAAGGAGGGAGAGGGCUUGAGAAGACUUGCCUGAGGCCAUAUUGGAGAAAGGAAGAGAACGGAUGCAAAAUGGGGACGCUGACCAUCCUCCUGAUCCAACUGGUCUAUUUUAGGUGACCCUUCUUAUUUCAUCUUGAAGAUGCAGCAGUUUUCUCUUCUUUCCCAAGUCUAAGGUGAUUUAAAACUUGAAAAUUUUGAGUUACUUGUAGAUUCACUACAGUUGGGAGAAACAGUACAGAGACUUCUCGAGUGCCCUUUACCCAGUUCCCCAAUGGUAACGUUGCAAAACCAUACUAGAGCCUCACAACCUGGGGGGCGCCCGGGAGGCUCAGUCGGUUGAGCGUCCAACUUCCGCUCCGAUCAUGAUCUCAGGGUUUGUGAGCGCGAGCCCCACAUCUGACUCCCUGCUGUCAGUGUGGAGCCCGCUUUGGAUCCUCUGUUUCCCUCUCUCUCUGCCCCUCCCCUGCUCAUGCUCUCUCUCUCUCAGAAAUAAAUAAACUUAAAAAAAUCUGUAAAUAAAUAAAAUCUUAAAAAAAGGUAUAUCACAAUCUGGAUACUGAUGUUGACACAAUCAAGAUACAGAACAUUUCCAUCCCACAAGGACCUUCCUGCUGCCAUUUUUUAUAAUCACAGCUACUUUCCGAUCAACCUACCUUCUCUUUUAACUGAUGGUAACUAUUAAUCUGUUUUCCACUUCUAUACUUUGGCCACUUCAAGAAUGUUACAUAAAUGGAAUCCCACAGUAUGUAAACUUUGGAGCCUGGCUUUUUACAGUCAACCCAAGUCUAUGGAUUAAUCCAGGUCGGUGUGUGGAUCCACAGUUCAUUUCUUUUUUGCGGAGUAGUUUUUAUUUCUUUUUCUUUUUCUUUUUGAUGUUUAUUUAUUUUUGAGAGAGAGAGAGACAGAGCACGAGUGGGGGAGGGGCAGAGAGAGAGGGAGACACAGAAUCUGAAGCAGGCUCCAGGCUUUGAUCUCUCAGCACAGAGCCCGAGCGGGGCUCAAAGUCACAAACUAUGAGAUCAUGACCUGAGCCGAAAUCAGACACUUAACCAACUGAGCCACCCAGGUGCCCAAUUGCUGAGUAUUUUUUCAUGUAGGAUAUGCCCCAAUUUAUUUAACCAUUCCCUGUUAAAGGACACUGGGUGGUUUCCAAUUUGGGGCUAUAUCAAAUAAAGUUGCUAUAAACAUCUA